CACCAAACAUGGCAAUACUGAUGCAACAUUCAAAGAAGCAACUGAUUAACAGAAUGCAAGAAGUCGAUCCAUCCUGGCUGAUUUUAUAAAUUUGAAAAGAGGUAAAAUCUAGGCUCAUAGUAGUCGUUGAGAUAUGUUAUAAUUUUUGCAGGUUUGAAUGAGUUCUGCUGAUAUCCAUCUCUAGCAUUGGUGAAAGAAUAUUAUUGUUGCAACCUAAUAAUCUAAGUGACAACAGGUAUACCAGAAAUACAUAUUCCACUCAGCUAUAUUAGCAAUAUCCGCGAGGAUCAAACAGAUUGAGUACAGAACUUGAAUGUCACAAAACAAGUACAAUUUUACAGCUGAGCAAUAAAAGUUACAUAUUUUCACUUUCCAGGAACAAAGUUGGUGGCGAAAGCCCAGGCAUUGUUGGCAACAGGGUCGGCUACAUGGUCAUAAAGGUUCUCAAUUGGACCCUUUCCGGUAACAAUAGCCUGGACAAAGAAUCCAAACAUUGAAAACAUUGCUAGUCUUCCAUUCUUGACCUCCUUUACCUUCAACUCUGGGAAUGCUUCAGGAUCAUCAGCCAAACCAAGAGGGUCAAAAGCCCCUCCUGGGUAAAGCGCGUCGAGUCCCUCACCAAGAGGACCUCCUCCAACUCUGUAUCCUUCAAUUAGUCCCAUGAGCACAACCUGAGUAGCCCAAAUGGCAAGAAUGCUCUGAGCAUGAACCAGGUUCGGGUUGCCAAGAUAGUCAAGGCCUCCUUCAGAAAAGAUUUGGGAUCCGGCCUUGAACCACACAGCCUCGCCAAAUGUGACUCCGUUCUUGGAAAGGAUUUCAGGGAAAACACAGCCUAGUGCUCCCAACAUAGCCCAUCUGCAGUGGAUCACCUCGAGCUCACGGUUCUUGGCAAAGGUCUCGGGGUCAGCUGAGAGCCCGGCAGUGUCCCAUCCAUAGUCACCAGGGAAUUCACCAGUAAGGUAUGAUGGAGUUUGCUCUGAG
Molecule: long non-coding RNA, 981 nt
Filed under: Daucus carota (carrot)
Lineage: Eukaryota; Viridiplantae; Streptophyta; Magnoliopsida; Apiales; Apiaceae
Description: long non-coding RNA (DCAR_LNC003978)
Source: RNAcentral